Long non-coding RNA from Carassius gibelio (silver crucian carp), 1386 nucleotides. RefSeq lists it as uncharacterized. The record is from RefSeq and is a predicted model, not a curated record. NCBI's taxonomy places the organism in Eukaryota, Metazoa, Chordata, Actinopteri, Cypriniformes, Cyprinidae. The transcript has 3 exons.
AGCAGGGGUUCAGAUAAAAAAUCGGCAGCUGGCAGCAGGAAGUGGCUGCCAUUGACAGCCGGAAGGCAGUAACUGACAGCCGGAAGGCAGUAACUGUCAGCCGGAUGGUAGGCGGGACCUGCCAUUCGGUGGGAGCCAAUCAGUAUCGACCAACCUGGGCGCAACCAAUCAGAUAUAACUGCACCCAAACGCUUCAGUAAUGGUUGCGAUUCAUCAAACGUUGCCAGAUGCUGUCCUGUUGAAAAUUCUUCUUUACGUGAUCCUGGAGGAGGGGUGAUGCUACAUUACUAAGUCCGUCUUUGGUUUGUUCCAAAUUCAGAAGUCUGCUGUACUGUAUACAGACUCCUUUCGAAAGAGGGCACAAUCCAGCUGGCUUGACGGAGUAUCUUCUUUUACAUAUUUGAUUAGAGGUUUAAAAAGGUGCCAUAACAUUACAUUUCUCAGUUGCCAUGUCUGAAUGUUUAUCUUUUGUAAUAAUGCUGUUUUCAUGCUCCUCAUCUCAAUAUACAGGUGGAACAAAAUGGAGAACAAGUCUAAGCCAUGUCAGGAAUUCAACAAUGUACACCCUGUAGACACUGCGAAGAGGUUUACAACAACUGCUUACCAGGUCACUGCAGUCACGCGGAUCGAGUACGUAUCCAGACCAGAUGGUGGAUCGCACCUAGAAAGGACCUCUACAGCCCUGAAAGACAGCGGAGACCAGGACAACUAGAGCCCCAGAUACAGAUCCCCUGUAAAGACCUUGUUUUUUUCUCCAUUUUGUCACCGGUGGAGUUUUGGUUCCUUGUCGCCUCUGGCUUGCUUCGUUGUGGUCACUUCAUUUACAGCGAUAUCACUGACAUGAUUGCAAAUGAUUCCACAGAUACUAUUUAAACUGAACCAAGCUGAAGGAUGACAUCACUGAAUUGAAUGAUAAACUGACUACAAACUGAGUUUACUAAUGUCCUUCUGCAUUAUUGACUGACACACUAUUUUACUAUUUAAUACUGUAAAGUUGCUUUGCUUUGAUCUGUAUUAUUAAAAGCACUAUAUAAAUAAACGAUGCUUGACUUGACCAUGUUGCAAGAGGAAAAUGAGGGGAGAUGCACAUCCACCCUGGGUUUUACAGUGAUUGGUGCAAGAUGCUGGAGAAGUAACUCUGUAUACCUCAUCAGUUCUGAUCUAAGAGUCUUGAAAAUACCUCCGGAUUGUUGUUCGUGAUUCUGAUUGAUAUUUUAGUCUGCGUGCUUACUGGAUAUAUUUUAUACGGUUUACAUUGUAAAGCACUGACUUUGACAACUUACUAACCCAGUUACAAAUUUAACAGCUACUUUAUACUAUAUAUAUAUAUAUAUAUAUAGUUGUUUCUUGAAAUACUACAAAUAUAACCGCAAAUUAUGAUUUUAA